CUUAUGACUCUCGGCAACGGAUAUCUCGGCUCUCGCAUCGAUGAAGAACGUAGCAAAAUGCGAUACNUGGUGUGAAUUGCAGGAUCCCGUGAACCAUCGAGUUUUUGAACGCAAGUUGCGCCCGAUGCCUUUUGGUUGAGGGCACGUCUGCCUGGGCGUCACGC
This 164-nucleotide ribosomal RNA is filed under the name Orcuttia tenuis. RNAcentral's name for it is "5.8S ribosomal RNA". It matches the Rfam family "5.8S ribosomal RNA". From Rfam's summary of the family: 5.8S ribosomal RNA (5.8S rRNA) is a component of the large subunit of the eukaryotic ribosome. It is transcribed by RNA polymerase I as part of the 45S precursor that also contains 18S and 28S rRNA. The record is from RNAcentral. Lineage: Eukaryota; Viridiplantae; Streptophyta; Magnoliopsida; Poales; Poaceae.